Molecule: ribosomal RNA, 1435 nt
Filed under: uncultured Bordetella sp.
Lineage: Bacteria; Pseudomonadati; Pseudomonadota; Betaproteobacteria; Burkholderiales; Alcaligenaceae
Description: partial 16S-23S ribosomal RNA intergenic spacer
Rfam family: Bacterial small subunit ribosomal RNA
Source: RNAcentral
UUCGAUCAUGGCUCAGAUUGAACGCUGGCGGGAUAUACUUUACGCAUGCAAGUCGAACGGCACGGACUUCGGUCUGGUGGCGAGUGGCGAACGGGUGAUAAUGUAUCGGAACGUGCCUAGUAGCGGGGAUAACUGCAGCCUUCAUCUACAUACGCCCUUCGGGGAAAGCAGGGGACAGCGGGCCUCGCACUAUUAAAGCGGCCGAUAUCGGGUUGGCUAGUUGGUGGGGUAACGGCUCACCAAGGCGACGAUCCGUAGCUGGUUUGAGGACGACCAGCCACGCUGGGACUGGGGCCGGUAGACUCUGGAGGCGGCAGUGGGGAAUUUUUGGACAAUGGGGAAACCCUGGUCCAGCCAUCCCGCGCGUGCGAUGAAGGCCUUCGGGUUGUAAAGCACUUUUGGCGGGAAAAGCGGCACAGGAUAAUGCCCCGUGCAACUGACGGUACCUGCAGAGCCAGCACCGGCUAACUACGUGCCCAGCAGCCGCGUCAGCCACGUAGGAGUGCAAGCGACAAUCGGAAUUACUGGGCGUAAAGCGUGCGCGAGCGGUUCGGAAGAAAGAUGUGAAAUCCCAGAGCGCUUUUUGGAACUGCAUUUAACUACUGAGCUGGGUAUGUCAGGGAGUGGAAUUCCGCGUGUAGCAAGUGAAGUAAACAGAUAUGCGGAGAGACACCGAUGGCGAGGCAGCCUCCUGGGAUAACACUGACGCUCAUGCACGAAAGCGUGGGGAGCAAACGGGAUUAGAUACCCUGGUAGUCCACGCCUAAACGAUGUCAACUGGCUGUUGGGGCCUUCGGGCCUUGGUAGCUGCUAACGCGUGAAGUUGACCGCCUGGGGAAGUACGGUCGCAAGAUUAAAACUCAAGGAAUUGACGGGACCGCACAAGCGGUGGAUGAUGUGGAUUAAUUCGAUGCAACGCAAAAGGCCUGCCUACCCUUGACAUGUCUGGAAUCCCGAAGAGAUUUGGGAGUGCUGAAGGCAGACACAGGUGCUGCAUGGCUGUCGUCAGCUCGUGUCGUGAGAUGUUGGGUUAAGUCCCGCAACAGGCGCAACCCUUGUCAUUAGUUGCUACGAAAGGGCACUCUAAUGAGACUGCCGGUGACAAACCGGAGGAAGGUGGGGAUGACGUCAAGUCCUCGCUGGCCCUUAUGGGUGGGGCUUCACGUCAUACAAUGGUCGGGACAGAGGGUCGCCAACCCACGAGGGAAUAAUCCCAGAAACCCGAUCGUAGUCCGGAUCGCAGUCUGCCUUCGACUGCGUGAAAUUCAGAAUCGCUAAUGAUGCGCAGAUCAGCAUGUCGCGGUGAAUACGUUCCCGGGUCUUGUACGCACCGCCCGUCACACGUGGUCGGUUUCACCGAAGUAGUUAGCCUAACCCGUAAGGAGAGCGUUACCACGGUAGGAUUCAUGACUGGGGUGAAGUCGUAACAAGGUAG